AUGGCUCCUCCUCAGUGCGCCGUCUCGUCGCCGCCCGCCCCCACCAAUGCCGCCAAUGCCGCCGCCGCCGCCGCCGGCGGCGGAGGCAAGGGCAGGACGCAACUGGCGGUGGCGCAGGUGAAGAAGCUCUGCAAGCAGGGGCGGCUCGAGCAGGCGCGGCGGCUGCUGCUGGACGCGCUGCCGCGCCCGCCCCCGACGCUGCUCUGCAACGUGCUCCUCAUCGCCUACGUCGCCGCCGCGCUCCCGGACCACGCGCUCCGCCUCUACGCGCUCCUCAACCACGCCGCGCGCCCCGCGCCCCGCUCCGACCACUACACCUACUCCUGCGCGCUCACCGCCUGCGCCCGCUCCCGCCGCCUGCGCCUCGGGAGGUCCGUCCACGCGCACCUCCUCCGCCGCGCCCGCUCGCUCCCGGACACCGCCGUCCUCCGCAACUCGCUGCUCAACCUCUACGCCUCCUGCGCGAGGUACUGCCACGGCGGCGUCGACGUCGUCCGCAGGCUGUUCGACGCAAUGCCGAAGAAGAACGUCGUUUCGUGGAACACCCUGUUUGGCUGGUACGUCAAGACCGGGCGCCCCGAUGAAGCCCUGGAGAUGUUCGUGCGCAUGCUGGAGGACGGUGUCAGGCCUACGCCGGUCAGCUUCGUGAAUGUCUUCCCGGCUGCGGGGAGCGGCGAUCCCAGCUGGCCAUUCUUGCUCUAUGGUUUGCUGAUAAAGCAUGGGGUGGAGUAUGUCAAUGAUCUCUUCGUUGUCAGCUCAGCGAUCGGCAUGUUCUCUGAGAUUGGCGAUGUGCGGACAGCUCGGAUGGUGUUUGACCGUGCUGCCAAGAAGAACAUUGAGGUUUGGAACACGAUGAUCACUGGGUACGUGCAGAAUGGGCAGUUUUCUGAAGCCAUGGAUCUCUUUAUCCAGAUACUGGGGUCAAAAGAGGUUCCAUCAGAUGUUGUGACUUUCUUGUCAGCCGUCACAGCGGCCUCGCAGUCACAAGAUGUCAGGCUGGGUCAGCAACUGCAUGGCUACUUGAUGAAAGGAAUGCACAGCACACUGCCUGUGAUACUGGGUAAUGCGCUUGUCGUGAUGUACUCGAGAUGCGGCGAUGUCCAAACUGCAUUUGAACUGUUUGAUCGAGUGCCAGAGAAGGACAUUGUUUCCUGGAACACCAUGAUCACUGCUUUUGUCCAAAAUGAUUUUGACUUGGAGGGCCUGUUGCUCGUUUAUGAGAUGCAGAAAUCAGGUUUCAUUCCUGAUACCGUGACAUUGACUGCAGUGCUGUCUGCAGCAUCAAAUACAGGAGACCUUCAGAUUGGUAAACAGUCGCAUGGGUAUCUCAUCAGGCAUGGCAUUGAGGGCGAAGGCUUGGAGAGCUAUCUGAUAGACAUGUACUCCAAGUCUGGCCGCAUAGACAUGGCUCAGAGAGUAUUUGAUGGCUAUGGGAAUAACAGAGAUGAAGUCACUUGGAAUGCCAUGAUAGCAGGAUACACACAGGGUGGCCAGCCUGAACAGGCAGUCUUAGCAUUCCGGGCGAUGAUUGAGGCAGGUGUAGAGCCUACUUCAGUGACACUUGCUUCAGUACUUCCUGCGUGUGACCCCGUUGGAGGGGGUGUAUGUGCAGGGAAGCAGAUACAUAGUUUUGCGCUGCGCCAUUCUCUGGAUACCAAUGUCUUUGUAGGUACAGCUCUUGUUGACAUGUACUCCAAGUGUGGGGAGAUUUCUGCUGCAGAGAAUGUCUUUGGUGGCAUGACUGAGAAGACCACUGUCACCUAUACGACAAUGAUCUCCGGUCUUGGCCAGCACGGUUACGGCGAAAGAGCACUAUCCCUCUUCUACUCGAUGCGAGACAAGGGCUUAAAGCCUGACGCCGUGACCUUCCUGGCUGCCAUUUCAGCAUGUAAUUACUCUGGAUUCGUCGACGAAGGUCUUUCUUUGUACAGGUCAAUGGAAACAUUUGGGCUUUUAGCUACCCCUCAGCACCACUGCUGUAUUGUGGACUUGUUGGCUAAAGCCGGGAGGGUGGACGAAGCAUACGACUUUGUAGAAAGCCUGGGUGAGGAUGGGAACUUCAUCGCCAUCUGGGGAUCGCUUCUGGCAUCCUGCAAAGUGCAAGGCAAGAUGGAGUUGGCAGCAUGGGCGACUGAGAAGGUGCUCAACAUUGAGAAGCAGUAUGGUCAUGCAGGCUACAAUGUUUUGCUGUCGCAGCUAUUUGCUGCUGAAGGUAACUGGAGUAGCGCUGAUAGUCUGAGAAAGGAGAUGAGAUUGAGGGGGGUGAGGAAAGAGGUGGGUUCUAGUUGGAUCAAAGUCCAGACUGCAGCAUUGCAGGACAGAUCUGUGGAGAGGAACCAAAAGCAAAAUUUCCCCGAAAAUGAGCACGUGUUCUCGAUGCUGGAUGGGGAUACUUGCAGUACAGGCGCAAUCAUUUAA
Molecule: ribosomal RNA, 2418 nt
Filed under: Triticum aestivum (bread wheat)
Lineage: Eukaryota; Viridiplantae; Streptophyta; Magnoliopsida; Poales; Poaceae
Description: partial small subunit ribosomal RNA
Source: RNAcentral